AGUGAACGCUGGCGGUAGGCCUAACACAUGCAAGUCGAACGGCAGCACAGUAAGAGCUUGCUCUUACGGGUGGCGAGUGGCGGACGGGUGAGGAAUACAUCGGAAUCUACUUUUUCGUGGGGGAUAACGUAGGGAAACUUACGCUAAUACCGCAUACGACCUACGGGUGAAAGCAGGGGAUCUUCUGACCUUGCGCGAUUGAAUGAGCCGAUGUCGGAUUAGCUAGUUGGCGGGGUAAAGGCCCACCAAGGCGACGAUCCGUAGCUGGUCUGAGAGGAUGAUCAGCCACACUGGAACUGAGACACGGUCCAGACUACUACGGGAGGCAGCAGUGGGGAAUAUUGGACAAUGGGCGCAAGCCUGAUCCAGCCAUACCGCGUGGGUGAAGAAGGCCUUCGGGUUGUAAAGCCCUUUUGUUGGGAAAGAAAAGCAGCAGGUUAAUACCCCGCUGUUCUGACGGUACCCAAAGAAUAAGCACCGGCUAACUUCGUG
This 492-nucleotide ribosomal RNA is filed under the name uncultured bacterium. RNAcentral describes it as "partial 16S ribosomal RNA". It matches the Rfam family "Bacterial small subunit ribosomal RNA", at positions 29 to 507 of the family's 1533-position model. The record is from RNAcentral.